Long non-coding RNA from Limulus polyphemus (Atlantic horseshoe crab), 739 nucleotides. RefSeq lists it as uncharacterized. The transcript is spliced from 3 exons. NCBI's taxonomy places the organism in Eukaryota, Metazoa, Arthropoda, Merostomata, Xiphosura, Limulidae. The record is from RefSeq and is a predicted model, not a curated record.
UAUAGGAGGUGUGUUCUAAUGCGUAAGCUCGUGUGUCGUUUGGUGUUUAACUUUUUUCUGAAGUGCUAGUUAGAUAGGCGCAAUCUGUCUGUGGAUUUCGUUAUUAGUUUUACGCCAGACUAAACGCUAGUGGAACAUAAGUUAAUCUUGUGUGCAGUUUUUUAAAUGCAAUGCUAAUUCGUUAGUGUACUUUUACAUCACAAUAACAAAGCAACAAGCGUACGUCUCUUUUAACUCCCUUGGUGUUUGGUAAUUAUCAGCGUAUUCUCUUGGGACAAGUACUGAAAAUUAUUUUGCUUUGCACAACUGUUGAAUGUGUGAUAUGCUAGCCCCAUAUGAUAAAAACAGCGUGCCGAGAACCGCUGAACAGGCCCGAGGCUUCAAGUAGCUGCUAGCCGUCCCGAUCUACGGCAAGCGUCAAGGCUGUUGGCAUCAAACCAGGUCACGAUCGUUCUUUCAUAAGGAAACAGUAUACAUACAACAACAGUCGAGCGUUGUAUCGAGCCGUGGUCUGUUUUAUAAUGUAGUUUUGUCCUUAUCACGUGGAACUCAUAAGUGAAUCUAAUGUAGGCGUUGUUCAGGCCAGUGGUCAAUCAUGGAUCUAAGCAGUGACACGCUUCAGUCUCAGGAGGAGGAGACUGUUUACUUUGAAUCUGGCGCAGAAGAAGAAAACACAUUUGUUGUUGUUACAACUAUGCAAGAUAAAAAUUUUCUGGUCAACAAUUUGUUAUAUUUUCAG